This 484-nucleotide ribosomal RNA is filed under the name uncultured bacterium. RNAcentral describes it as "partial 16S ribosomal RNA". It matches the Rfam family "Bacterial small subunit ribosomal RNA", at positions 30 to 507 of the family's 1533-position model. The record is from RNAcentral.
AUUGAACGCUGGCGGCAGGCCUAACACAUGCAAGUCGAGCGGAUGAAGGGAGCUUGCUCCUGGAUUCAGCGGCGGACGGGUGAGUAAUGCCUAGGAAUCUGCCUGGUAUUGGGGGAUAACGUCCGGAAACGGGCGCUAAUACCGCAUACGUCCUGAGGGAGAAAGUGGGGGAUCUUCGGACCUCACGCUAUCAGAUGAACCUAGGUCGGAUUAGCUAGUUGGUGGGGUAAAGGCCUACCGAGGCGACGAUCCGUAACUGGUCUGCGAGGAUGAUCAGUCACACUGGAACUGAGACACGGUCCAGGCUCCUACGGGAGGCAGCAGUGGGGAAUAUUGGACAAUGGGCGGAAGCCUGAUCCAACCAUGCCGCGUGUGUGAAGAAGGUCUUCGGAUUGUAAAGCACUUUAAGUUGGGAGGAAGGGCAGUAAGUUAAUACCUUGCUGUUUUGACGGUACCAACAGAAUAAGCACCGGCUAACUUCGUG